Molecule: ribosomal RNA, 915 nt
Filed under: uncultured archaeon
Lineage: Archaea
Description: bacterial SSU rRNA
Rfam family: Archaeal small subunit ribosomal RNA
Source: RNAcentral
CUGGUUGAUCCUGCCAGAGGCUACUGCUAUCGGGGUCCGACUAAGCCAUGCGAGUUGAGAGGGGUAAAGCCCUCGGCAUACUGCUCAGUAACACGCGGAUAAUCUACCCUUAGGACUGGGAUAACCCCGGGAAACUGGGACUAAUACCAGAUAAAUCAUAGAUACUGGAAUGUUCCUUGGUCCAAAACUCCGGUGCCCAAGGAUGGGUCUGCGGCCUAUCAGGUUGUAGUGGGUGUAACGUACCUACUAGCCUACGACGGGUAAGGGUUGUGAGAGCAAGAGCCCUGAGAUGGAUUCUGAGACAUGAAUCCAGGCCCUACGGGGUGCAGCAGGCGCGAAAACUUUACACUGCUAGAAAUAGCGAUAAGGGGACCCCGAGUGCCAGUACCUAGUGCUGGCUGUCCCGCUGUCCAAACAACAGUGGUUAGCAAGGGCCGGGCAAGACCGGUGCCAGCCGCCGCGGUAACACCGGCGGCCCGAGUGGUAGCCGUUAUUAUUGGGUUUAAAGGGUCCGUAGCCGGCCUAUUAAGUCUCUUGGGAAAUCUGGCGACUUAAUCGUCAGGCGUCCAAGAGAUACUGAUAGGCUUGGGACCGGGAGAGGUGGGAGGUACUCCAGGGGUAGGGGUGAAAUCUCGUAAUCCUUGGGGGACCACCGAUGGCGAAGGCAUCCCACCAGAACGGGUCCGACGGUGAGGGACGAAAGCUGGGGGCACGAACCGGAUUAGAUACCCGGGUAGUCCCAGCUGUAAACGAUGCUCGCUAGGUGUCAGGUGCGGUGCGACCGCACCUGGUGCCGCAGUGAAAACUUGAAGCGAGUCACCUGGGAAGUACGGUCGCAAGGCUGAAACUUAAAGGAAUUGGCGGGGGAGCACUACAACGGGUGGAGCCUGCGGUUCAAUUGGAUUCAACGCCGGG